RNAcentral lists this ribosomal RNA (1000 nucleotides) under Streptomyces tempisquensis. Its description in RNAcentral is "bacterial SSU rRNA". It matches the Rfam family "Bacterial small subunit ribosomal RNA", at positions 431 to 1433 of the family's 1533-position model. The record is from RNAcentral. Lineage: Bacteria; Bacillati; Actinomycetota; Actinomycetes; Kitasatosporales; Streptomycetaceae.
CCUCUUCAGCAGGGAAGAAGCGAAAGUGACGGUACUGCAGAAGAAGCACCGGCUAACUACGUGCCAGCAGCCGCGGUAAUACGUAGGGUGCAAGCGUUGUCCGGGAAUUAUUGGGCGUAAAGAGCUCGUAGGCGGCCUGUCGCGUCGAUUGUGAAAGCCCAGGGCUUAACCGUGGGUCUGCAGUCGAUACGGGCAGGCUAGAGUUCGGUAGGGGAGAUCGGAAUUCCUGGUGUAGCGGUGAAAUGCGCAGAUAUCAGGAGGAACACCGGUGGCGAAGGCGGAUCUCUGGGCCGAUACUGACGCUGAGGAGCGAAAGCGUGGGGAGCGAACAGGAUUAGAUACCCUGGUAGUCCACGCCGUAAACGGUGGGCACUAGGUGUGGGCAACAUUCCACGUUGUCCGUGCCGCAGCUAACGCAUUAAGUGCCCCGCCUGGGGAGUACGGCCGCAAGGCUAAAACUCAAAGGAAUUGACGGGGGCCCGCACAAGCGGCGGAGCAUGUGGCUUAAUUCGACGCAACGCGAAGAACCUUACCAAGGCUUGACAUACACCGGAAACGGCCAGAGAUGGUCGCCCCCUUGUGGUCGGUGUACAGGUGGUGCAUGGCUGUCGUCAGCUCGUGUCGUGAGAUGUUGGGUUAAGUCCCGCAACGAGCGCAACCCUUAUCCUGUGUUGCCAGCGGAUCCCUUCGGGGGUGCCGGGGACUCACGGGAGACUGCCGGGGUCAACUCGGAGGAAGGUGGGGACGACGUCAAGUCAUCAUGCCCCUUAUGUCUUGGGCUGCACACGUGCUACAAUGGCCGGUACAAUGAGCUGCGAUACCGCGAGGUGGAGCGAAUCUCAAAAAGCCGGUCUCAGUUCGGAUUGGGGUCUGCAACUCGACCCCAUGAAGUCGGAGUCGCUAGUAAUCGCAGAUCAGCAUUGCUGCGGUGAAUACGUUCCCGGGCCUUGUACACACCGCCCGUCACGUCAUGAAAGUCGGUAACACCCGAAGCCGGUGG